GACGAACGCUGGCGGCGUGCCUAAUGCAUGCAAGUAGAACGCUGAAGAGAGGAGCUUGCUCUUCUUGGAUGAGUUGCGAACGGGUGAGUAACGCGUAGGUAACCUGCCUUGUAGCGGGGGAUAACUAUUGGAAACGAUAGCUAAUACCGCAUAACAAUGGAUGACACAUGUCAUUUAUUUGAAAGGGGCAAUUGCUCCACUACAAGAUGGACCUGCGUUGUAUUAGCUAGUAGGUGAGGUAACGGCUCACCUAGGCGACGAUACAUAGCCGACCUGAGAGGGUGAUCGGCCACACUGGGACUGAGACACGGCCCAGACUCCUACGGGAGGCAGCAGUAGGGAAUCUUCGGCAAUGGGGGCAACCCUGACCGAGCAACGCCGCGUGAGUGAAGAAGGUUUUCGGAUCGUAAAGCUCUGUUGUAAGUCAAGAACGAGUGUGAGAGUGGAAAGUUCACACUGUGACGGUAGCUUACCAGAAAGGGACGGCUAACUACGUGCCAGCAGCCGCGGUAAUACGUAGGUCCCGAGCGUUGUCCGGAUUUAUUGGGCGUAAAGCGAGCGCAGGCGGUUUGAUAAGUCUGAAGUUAAAGGCUGUGGCUCAACCAUAGUUCGCUUUGGAAACUGUCAAACUUGAGUGCAGAAGGGGAGAGUGGAAUUCCAUGUGUAGCGGUGAAAUGCGUAGAUAUAUGGAGGAACACCGGUGGCGAAAGCGGCUCUCUGGUCUGUAACUGACGCUGAGGCUCGAAAGCGUGGGGAGCGAACAGGAUUAGAUACCCUGGUAGUCCACGCCGUAAACGAUGAGUGCUAGGUGUUGGAUCCUUUCCGGGAUUCAGUGCCGCAGCUAACGCAUUAAGCACUCCGCCUGGGGAGUACGACCGCAAGGUUGAAACUCAAAGGAAUUGACGGGGGCCCGCACAAGCGGUGGAGCAUGUGGUUUAAUUCGAAGCAACGCGAAGAACCUUACCAGGUCUUGACAUCCCGAUGCUAUUUCUAGAGAUAGAAAGUUACUUCGGUACAUCGGUGACAGGUGGUGCAUGGUUGUCGUCAGCUCGUGUCGUGAGAUGUUGGGUUAAGUCCCGCAACGAGCGCAACCCCUAUUGUUAGUUGCCAUCAUUCAGUUGGGCACUCUAGCGAGACUGCCGGUAAUAAACCGGAGGAAGGUGGGGAUGACGUCAAAUCAUCAUGCCCCUUAUGACCUGGGCUACACACGUGCUACAAUGGUUGGUACAACGAGUUGCGAGUCGGUGACGGCAAGCUAAUCUCUUAAAGCCAAUCUCAGUUCGGAUUGUAGGCUGCAACUCGCCUACAUGAAGUCGGAAUCGCUAGUAAUCGCGGGUCAGCACGCCGCGGUGAAUACGUUCCCGGGCCU
RNAcentral lists this ribosomal RNA (1369 nucleotides) under uncultured bacterium. RNAcentral's name for it is "bacterial SSU rRNA". It matches the Rfam family "Bacterial small subunit ribosomal RNA", at positions 28 to 1381 of the family's 1533-position model. The record is from RNAcentral.